RNAcentral lists this ribosomal RNA (1343 nucleotides) under uncultured bacterium. RNAcentral's name for it is "16S ribosomal RNA". It matches the Rfam family "Bacterial small subunit ribosomal RNA", at positions 28 to 1378 of the family's 1533-position model. The record is from RNAcentral.
GACGAACGCUGGCGGCGUGCUUAACACAUGCAAGUCGAACGGAAAGGCCCUGCUUUUGUGGGGUGCUCGAGUGGCGAACGGGUGAGUAACACGUGAGUAACCUGCCCUUGACUUUGGGAUCACUUCAGGAAACUGGGGCUAAUACCGGAUAGGAGCUCCUGCUGCAUGGUGGGGGUUGGAAAGUUUCGGCGGUUGGGGAUGGACUCGCGGCUUAUCAGCUUGUUGGUGGGGUAGUGGCUUACCAAGGCUUUGACGGGUAGCCGGCCUGAGAGGGUGACCGGCCACAUUGGGACUGAGAUACGGCCCAGACUCCUACGGGAGGCAGCAGUGGGGAAUAUUGCACAAUGGGCGGAAGCCUGAUGCAGCAACGCCGCGUGCGGGAUGACGGCCUUCGGGUUGUAAACCGCUUUCGCCUGUGACGAAGCGUGAGUGACGGUAAUGGGUAAAGAAGCACCGGCUAACUACGUGCCAGCAGCCGCGGUGAUACGUAGGGUGCGAGCGUUGUCCGGAUUUAUUGGGCGUAAAGGGCUCGUAGGUGGUUGAUCGCGUCGGAAGUGUAAUCUUGGGGCUUAACCCUGAGCGUGCUUUCGAUACGGGUUGACUUGAGGAAGGUAGGGGAGAAUGGAAUUCCUGGUGGAGCGGUGGAAUGCGCAGAUAUCAGGAGGAACACCAGUGGCGAAGGCGGUUCUCUGGGCCUUUCCUGACGCUGAGGAGCGAAAGCGUGGGGAGCGAACAGGCUUAGAUACCCUGGUAGUCCACGCUGUAAACGGUGGGUACUAGGUGUGGGGUCCAUUCCACGGGUUCCGUGCCGUAGCUAACGCUUUAAGUACCCCGCCUGGGGAGUACGGCCGCAAGGCUAAAACUCAAAGGAAUUGACGGGGCCCCGCACAAGCGGCGGAGCAUGCGGAUUAAUUCGAUGCAACGCGUAGAACCUUACCUGGGUUUGACAUGGAUCGGGAGCGCUCAGAGAUGGGUGUGCCUCUUUUGGGGUCGGUUCACAGGUGGUGCAUGGCUGUCGUCAGCUCGUGUCGUGAGAUGUUGGGUUAAGUCCCGCAACGAGCGCAACCCUUGUUCACUGUUGCCAGCACGUUAUGGUGGGGACUCAGUGGAGACCGCCGGGGUCAACUCGGAGGAAGGUGGGGAUGACGUCAAGUCAUCAUGCCCCUUAUGUCCAGGGCUUCACGCAUGCUACAAUGGCUGGUACAGAGAGUGGCGAGCCUGUGAGGGUGAGCGAAUCUCGGAAAGCCGGUCUCAGUUCGGAUUGGGGUCUGCAACUCGACCUCAUGAAGUCGGAGUCGCUAGCAAUCGCAGAUCAGCAACGCUGCGGUGAAUACGUUCCCGGG